This 65-nucleotide small nucleolar RNA is filed under the name Stegastes partitus (bicolor damselfish). RNAcentral's name for it is "Small nucleolar RNA SNORD37 (ENSSPAG00000021931.1)". Lineage: Eukaryota; Metazoa; Chordata; Actinopteri; Pomacentridae. The record is from RNAcentral.
AGUGAUGAUCUGAAAAUUCUUCACUUUGACCUGACUAACCAGUGAUGAUAACCUUCAACCUGAGC